AGGCUUGUGGCUCAGGUGGUUAGAGCGCACCCCUGAUAAGUGUGAGGUCGGUGGUUCAAGUCCACUCAGGCCUA
This 74-nucleotide transfer RNA is filed under the name Proteus penneri. RNAcentral describes it as "tRNA-Ile". It matches the Rfam family "tRNA". Rfam says of the family: Transfer RNA (tRNA) molecules are approximately 80 nucleotides in length. Lineage: Bacteria; Pseudomonadati; Pseudomonadota; Gammaproteobacteria; Enterobacterales; Morganellaceae. The record is from RNAcentral.